RNAcentral lists this ribosomal RNA (440 nucleotides) under uncultured bacterium. RNAcentral describes it as "partial 16S ribosomal RNA". It matches the Rfam family "Bacterial small subunit ribosomal RNA", at positions 338 to 795 of the family's 1533-position model. The record is from RNAcentral.
CCUACGGGUGGCAGCAGUGGGGAAUAUUGCACAAUGGGGGAAACCCUGAUGCAGCGACGCCGCGUGAGUGAAGAAGUAUUUCGGUAUGUAAAGCCCUAUUAGCAGGGAAGAAAAUGACGGUACCUGACUAAGAAGCCCCGGCUAACUACGUGCCAGCAGCCGCGGUAAUACGUAGGGGGCAAGCGUUAUCCGGAUUUACUGGGGGUAAAGGGAGCGUAGACGGCAGCGCAAGUCUGAAGUGAAAUGCCGGGGCUUAACCCCGGAACUGCGUUGGAAACUGUGCAGCUAGAGUGCAGGAGAGGUAAGUGGAAUUCCUAGUGUAGCGGUGAAAUGCGUAGAUAUUGGGAGGAACACCAGUGGCGAAGGCGGCUUACUGGACUGUAACUGACGUUGAGGCUCGAAAGCGUGGGGAGCAAACAGGAUUAGAUACCCUAGUAGUC